UAAUACUGGAUAGGCAAUUUUUCCUGUAAUGGUUUUUUGUUUAAAUGUUUUUUCGCCUAAGGAUGGGUCUGCGGCCGAUUAGGUAGUUGGUUAGGUAAUGGCUUACCAAGCCUUUGAUCGGUACGGGUUGUGAGAGCAAGAGCCCGGAGAUGGAACCUGAGACAAGGUUCCAGGCCCUACGGGGUGCAGCAGGCGCGAAACCUCCGCAAUGUGAGAAAUCGCGACGGGGGGAUCCCAAGUGCCAUUCUUAACGGGAUGGCUUUUCAUUAGUGUAAAGAGCUUUUGGAAUAAGAGCUGGGCAAGACCGGUGCCAGCCGCCGCGGUAACACCGGCAGCUCUAGUGGUAGCAAUUUUUAUUGGGCCUAAAGCGUCCGUAGCCGGUUUAAUAAGUCUCUGGUGAAAUCCUGUAGCUUAACUGUGGGAAUUGCUGGAGAUACUAUUAGACUUGAGACCGGGAGAGGUUAGAGGUACUCCCAGGGUAGAGGUGAAAUUCUGUAAUCCUGGGAGGACCGCCUGUUGCGAAGGCGUCUAACUGGAACGGUUCUGACGGUGAGGGACGAAAGUUAGGGGCGCGAACCGGAUUAGAUACCCGGGUAGUCCUAACUGUAAACGAUGCGGACUUGGUGU
This 627-nucleotide ribosomal RNA is filed under the name uncultured archaeon. Its description in RNAcentral is "bacterial SSU rRNA". It matches the Rfam family "Archaeal small subunit ribosomal RNA", at positions 147 to 774 of the family's 1478-position model. The record is from RNAcentral.